ACCCAACCCCUUUUGCAGUCAUUUCCAAGGCUUUGUACGGAGUGGAGCAGUUGGGAAAUCCUGCUUGCGACAAACCUCACUUUAUCCUCUCUCUCACUCUAUUGCCUGGAGGGAUGGUUUGGAGUGGAGUUCUGGGAGAAAGACUUCACAGAAAAAUCGGAAGCAAUUUGUACUUUCCUGCACUUCUGCUUGGACUUCGUGGGAAACUUCAUCUCUCAUCUCUAGAGCUCCCCUUCUCUCCAAAAUUUGCUUGAUGUUUUUCCUCUGGAUAUGGAUAAUGUCUUUUCUCCGGAAAACCCUUCCCGACUGAUCUCAAACUAUAAGCUCCUAAGGCGCCGAAAUUCAAAACGAUCAACAGCAUAGACCCUGGGAACCCUCCUCCUGGACCUGGACCCGGAUCAAAAGAGUCACUGAAGUCCAGUAACAAGACAAAAAUCAGGAUGCCUGUGAAGCAGAGGAUGACCUUGGCAUUUCUGAUGUCUGACCAAGUUCUAUGUACCUCAUAGAAGCUUUGGUGGUUCAUAGAGCCUGCUUCAGCUUCAUUCAUAGACUUCUGGGCAAGCAUGGUGGCAGUCUAGAUGUGGGACAAUUCCUCUCCCCAGCACCCACCAACACAGAGUACCUCAAAAGACCUUAAAAACCAUUUUCAGAAGAACAGAGGAACUCUAUAGUAAGCUGCAGAAUUGAAGGUACGUGGGAUUUGGGCAUUUCAACACUAUAAGAGGGUAAAAGAGCUCCCACUCAAAUGUGAAUCAAUCUACCCUCCCCCAACCCACCUACAGAGCCAGAGUCAGAGCCAGCAUACACCAGAAUCAGUGAGUGAGUGAGGGGCACCUCUAGGUCCUUGGGAGCUGACUAAGACUACCAAAUACCAACCCAUGGUGGCAGCUACACCAGAAAUUCUGGGGGGCAAGGAAGUAGAGACCUUGGGGGCUCAGAGCUGGCAUGUGUCAGGAUCAGCAAGUGAGUGAGUGGCACCUGUAGAGAGAGCAAGGGGCACCUCUAGGUCCCUGGGAACUGAAUAAGACCACCAAAAACCAACCCUUAAAGCAGCUUCACCUGAAACCCAGCAGGCUGAGGAGCACAGACCUUGGGUGCCACUGGGAAGGUAGCACAGAGAAGAAUUGCAAACUGCUGCAAAGUUUCGAGAGCUUGCCUCAGGCAAAUCUACUUGCUCCUUAACUCCAUACACAGAGAACUUGGUCAGCUCACUCAGAUUUUUGUGAAUCUUAAAAACUACUCAGACUGUACUUUAGAAGAUUUAAUUUAGCUCUUUCCUUAUUGUAACAAUGGAGAUACUUGGUCUAACAGAAUCAGGAAUGUCUUGGGAACUCUAUUACUUCACCCAUACUUAGACAUAUUUUAGGGGAAGAUAAAGUCAUAAACUCCUGAUUGAAAAAUGAAGGUACUUAACUCAUACCUUAUAGUGAAGCUAGAACUUUAAGCUAAGUCUAUUUUUAGAUCUCAUACAAAAGGGUGUUAAGUACCUAUAAAGGUUAAAUUAAUCACAAAAAGGUCAGGUAACUCACAAAAGGCAAGCUUAAAAAAGAAGUGUGAAGUACUCAAAAGACAUAAUCUAACCAGAGAAGGUGAAAACUAAAGAGUGGUGAGAACUAAAGAAUGGGCAGUCCCAGAUAAAGCAUCUACUGUGAUUGGUAGAUGUAAAAAUUUAGGGGAGGUGACAUAAGAGAAAAUUUCUUCAAAAGGAGGCUAAAAAAGUCAGUUUUAAGAACUCAUUUCAGGAGAUUGAGUUCAGUGGAGGACUGGAGCUUCCUUGGAGACAAUCUUGUGGUGAGUGAUAAGACUGACUCCAUUUCCUUUAGACUCAGGAAGGCCACUUUGACCAAAGCCUUUACUCAGCCAGCACCAGAGCAGUUUAAAUUAACU
Non-coding RNA from Monodelphis domestica (gray short-tailed opossum), 1887 nucleotides. NCBI's taxonomy places the organism in Eukaryota, Metazoa, Chordata, Mammalia, Didelphimorphia, Didelphidae. The record is from RefSeq and is a predicted model, not a curated record.